GACGAACGCUGGCGGCGUGCCUAAUACAUGCAAGUCGAACGGUCUUUUCUAUGGAAGCUUGCUUCCACUGAGAAGAUAGUGGCGGACGGGUGAGUAACACGUGGGUAACCUGCCCAUAAGAGGGGGAUAACAUCCGGAAACGGGUGCUAAUACCGCAUAGUUUUCUUGAUCGCAUGAUCGAGAAAGGAAAGACGGCCUUUGUGCUGUCGCUUAUGGAUGGACCCGCGGCGUAUUAGUUAGUUGGUGAGGUAAUGGCUCACCAAGACGAUGAUACGUAGCCGACCUGAGAGGGUGAUCGGCCACAUUGGGACUGAGACACGGCCCAAACUCCUACGGGUGGCUG
Molecule: ribosomal RNA, 343 nt
Filed under: uncultured Bacillota bacterium
Lineage: Bacteria; Bacillati; Bacillota
Description: bacterial SSU rRNA
Rfam family: Bacterial small subunit ribosomal RNA
Source: RNAcentral